GUGCAUGAUAAAAGCUUUAUUUAUACAAAAUAUAAACUUAAAUUAGAAACAAGAAAUUAAUGGCACAUGACACUUUACUUCUGCAUAAAGCUAUAUUUUAAUACAUUUCAUUGUUUGCCUUAUUCGAAUUAUACUGCUGCGAAGAGAAUGAAGAGAUGUUUCAUUGGUUUUCAAAUGACUAUUGGUGUGUUUACUGUGUGUAUUACUAGCUAUGCUACAUAUAUCAACUAUUUACUGCUCUUUUAUAAAUUUAUUUAAAUAUGUCAUUAUUCUGUUUGCAUGCAACGCUCUGUCUAAGUUGUUAUCCCAACUUUUCUCAAGUGAUAUAUCUCUGAACUCUUCAUAUAUUUCUUUGACAAUCUUAGUUUAUUUAUGAACUGGAUCUUUCUUGAUAAUUUCUUUCCAGUAAUGGUACCCAUCUUUGAUGACUAUAACAGCACAAUAAAUAAUUUUCUUCUUAAAGAAUAUGUCUUUAUGUUAAACUUACUUCUUUUUAAGUAUAAUUGGUUGUCUUGUUCAACCCUGGACAACUCUUCAUUACAAAAAUAAGAAAUUCUUUAGAUUUGGAAAAUUCAUAAUAAAAAUUGAAUUUAACUUUUUUGAUGGCAAUAUAUAUAUCUAUAUAAGUAGUAAGAUAUAUCCCUCUCCAUUUUUUUUUGUCACUUUAUUCGAUGGUUGGGCAUUAAAUAUCCCUAAGAGUGGACACUAUAAGGCUUUCACCAACUAGCUUUUAAUUGAUAAGCUUUAUUUUUUUAGUAAAGAUGACAAGGAUUUGAUAUGCGACAAAAAAUAAGCCAGUUGUAAGAUCUUCAUUUACAAAAACAGGAGAUAUAAUACUUCAAUUUAAACAUAUACUUGUAAUAAAGCAUUGUUGAAAAUCGUCACCGUACCAUAAAAUUAAAAUAAUCAGAGAAAAAAAUCUCUUACUUUAAAAAUACAUCAGUAAUACUCGACAUAUGAGAUAUUAUAAAGAAAAGUUGUGAAAGGAAAUACUUGUUAUAUAAAUAUCAAAUACUACAGAUAAAAAAAAAUCAUUCAUAUCGUGUUCUCUGCUAAUUUAAAAAUCAGUAGGCAUUAUAUUUAUCAAUAUUUUACACCUCACUAAGGCUAGACCAGCUUUAAAAAUAUUGACAGUAUAAUCUUACUAAUGUUUAAACAUGCAUAGCUCAUAUUCAAGAAAGGAACAUUUUGCUGUUCUCCAUUCACUUUAUUAUAAUAGCCCUCAUUAAAGUGAGUAGUUUUAAAAUUAUAAGAUUCUAAUUUAACAUAAAAUCUUCAUUUUUUGCAAUACAAUAAAAUUUAGAACUUGUUUGAAAUUUACAGUUUGUUUUUUUUAAAGAAUGUAGUUGGCAUUAAAAAUUGGCUUUAUAAUUAUUCCUUAAAGAAAAAAAUCAGAAAAAGAGAAGACUGUCCUGUCAGAGCAGAAAAGUGUAUUGGAUAACUAUGCAAUAUCAUAUACCAUGAGCAAUAAACAUUUUAUAAUAUACAUUGUAGUACCAAAUUCUUAGUUAAUCUGGAUAAAUAUAAUAUUUUUCCAAUGAAAUCUUGAUCAAAAAUUAAGAAUUAUAUUAAUCCUCGAGAGGUUCUUCCAAAUACACUAUCGUAUUGAUAUAUCAUGUAUUUAUAAGCAAUAAUUUGAAUCAAAUCUUCUGAGUUAAUUUUCAUGAAUGGCAGGUUUUCUGUCAUUUGUAUGGAAGUACAAUAUCAGUUUAUGCACCUCUGAACAGAUUGCAGAACAUUAAGAUUCUUUUUUAUUCUAAAUACAAAUUAGCAUGAAAUAUUUUAAAAAUCUAUUCAUAAAUGCUCUACCUUUCAGAUAUUCUUUUAAGAGUGAAUGCCAAAAGAGCCAAAUAUUACAUAUUUACUUUAAAAGAGAUCUACCCAAUAUUUGGUACUACGUGUAUAUCAUUAUAAAAAUAGAUUAAGCAUAACAUUUUCAUAAUGAUAUUUACGACUUCAAUCAAUCAUAUAAAAUUAUAAAAAAAAACACAUUGUUAAAAAAUAUGGACAAUAUAAAAAUAUAAAGAUAUGAAUACACAUCUCUUGGAGAUAAAAAUGAAAAAUUCCAAAUACGCCAGCAUAUUUAGUAAAACAUGAAAAUAUAAACAAUAAUCUCCACCCCAUUGACCAAAUAACAUAAAAGUCUAAUUUCAAAGUAUGUUGAUAUAAAGUAAUGUAAAAAAUAAUCUAAAAUCUAUUAAGUCUAAAAAGCAGUUUAAUACAUUCUUACUUCAGAAAAACACUUUCUCCUUUUAGGCGAGUGACUUAUUUCAAAAAGACGCUUAGUUAACGACUUUAAUGCACCCACCUAACACACGGCUGUAUUAUAUAUCAUUCGAAAGCUGUUAAUCUGUACUUUCUGUUUUGCCCGGUCGUAAAAAAAUCGUACGGUGCAAUUUUUGUUAAAUCAAGGUCAAAGGUCAUGAAAAAACAUUCCAAUUUUUGCGAUUACUAAAUAAAACGCCAUUUUUUAAUUCUUGUACCAUAAAAUUUUCCAAAAGAUCAUAUGAACUUUAUGGAACAUGAUACAUAAUUUCCAAAUCAAACAAAAAAUACGAGAUU
Molecule: long non-coding RNA, 2562 nt
Filed under: Mytilus galloprovincialis (Mediterranean mussel)
Lineage: Eukaryota; Metazoa; Mollusca; Bivalvia; Mytilida; Mytilidae
Source: RNAcentral